GAAAUGCGAUAAGUAAUGUGAAUUGCAGAAUUCAGUGAAUCAUCGAAUCUUUGAACGCACAUUGCGCCCGCCAGUAUUCUGGCGGGCAUGCCUGUUCGAGCGUCAUUACAACCCUCAGGCCCCCGGGCCUGGCGUUGGGGAUCGGCGGAAGCCCCCUGCGGGCACAACGCCGUCCCCCAAAUACAGUGGCGGUCCCGCCGCAGCUUCCAUUGCGUAGUAGCUAACACCCCGCAACUGGAGAGCGGCGCGGCCACGCCGUAAAACACCCAACUUCUGAAUGUUGACCUCGAAUCAGGUAGGAAUACCCGCUGAACUUAAGC
This 320-nucleotide unclassified non-coding RNA is filed under the name plant metagenome. RNAcentral describes it as "partial contains 5.8S ribosomal RNA, internal transcribed spacer 2, and large subunit ribosomal RNA". The stretch from base 1 to 105 matches the Rfam family "5.8S ribosomal RNA", at positions 50 to 154 of the family's 154-position model. The record is from RNAcentral.